AGUGAACGCUGGCGGUAGGCCUAACACAUGCAAGUCGAACGGCAGCACAGUAAGAGCUUGCUCUUACGGGUGGCGAGUGGCGGACGGGUGAGGAAUACAUCGGAAUCUACUUUUUCGUGGGGGAUAACGUAGGGAAACUUACGCUAAUACCGCAUACGACCUACGGGUGAAAGCCGGGGAUCUUCGGACCUUGCGCGAUUGAAUGAGCCGAUGUCGGAUUAGCUAGUUGGCGGGGUAAAGGCCCACCAAGGCGACGAUCCGUAGCGGGUCUGAGAGGAUGAUCAGACACACUGGAACUGAGACACGGUCCAGACUCCUACGGGGGGCAGCAGUGGGGAAUAUUGGACAAUGGGCGCAAGCCUGAUCCAGCCAUACCGCGUGGGUGAAGAAGGCCUUCGGGUUGUAAAGCCCUUUUGUUGGGAAAGAAAAGCAGCAGGUUAAUACCCCGCUGUUCUGACGGUACCCAAAGAAUAAGCACCGGCUAACUUCGUG
Molecule: ribosomal RNA, 492 nt
Filed under: uncultured bacterium
Lineage: Bacteria
Description: partial 16S ribosomal RNA
Rfam family: Bacterial small subunit ribosomal RNA
Source: RNAcentral